Molecule: ribosomal RNA, 292 nt
Filed under: uncultured bacterium
Lineage: Bacteria
Description: partial 16S ribosomal RNA
Rfam family: Bacterial small subunit ribosomal RNA
Source: RNAcentral
GUGCCAGCAGCCGCGGUAAUACGGAGGGUGCUAGCGUUAAUCAGAAUUACUGGGCGUAAAGAGCACGUAGGUUGUUUUUUAAGUCAGAUGUGAAAUCCCUAGGCUUAACCUAGGAACUGCAUUUGAAACUAAAAAACUAGAGUCUCGUAGAGGGAGGUAGAAUUCUAGGUGUAGCGGUGAAAUGCGUAGAUAUCUGGAGGAAUACCUGUGGCGAAAGCGACCUCCUAAGCGAUGACUGACACUGAGGUGCGAAAGCAUGGGGAGCAAACAGGAUUAGAUACCCUGGUAGUCC